Linepithema humile (Argentine ant) is the source of this 1132-nucleotide non-coding RNA. NCBI's taxonomy places the organism in Eukaryota, Metazoa, Arthropoda, Insecta, Hymenoptera, Formicidae. The record is from RefSeq and is a predicted model, not a curated record.
UAAUAUUAUUAUUUCCCGUAAUUCUGUUUUGAACGCUGUUACAAUGUAAAUGUAUUUGUUUUACAGAUAAACUUCCGAGCUAUGAAUCCUCAAUGCUACGUGAAUCGUCAUACUUGUCUCAUCAUAAUUUCGUUCCGUCGCAAUGUAAUAAAAUGCGGGAGUGUCGUAAGAGUUUCGCGCGAGUUCGAAACGACGAAUUCUAGCGAAUUGUAUAGACGAUCGGAUUUCCGAUGGAUGCAAACUCUGGGACACGAUGGUAUCUCCGUCAAAGGGUUCGGUCCGGAGGGGGGAAGAAUCGGCGAUUAUUUUAAAGCAUCGCGAAUGGGCCCCCUUUAGUUAUGAAAUCGUGUUAGAACAUAUGAUUCAUGUGUAAUGCAUGAUGUCACGUCAAGGUGGUCAUAUGAUUCGCGGCUACAAGUCGUCGCUGACUCAAGUUCCGCUGGCAUCGACACGAAGAUGCUGCUGGGUCACCCGAUAUUCCGAUGACCCCACGAUUGAUCCUACCUUGUUUUCUUCGUACUUACUCUCUGUUGCGAGAUAUCCGUGUCCCAAUUUGCCAAGUUCGAUCGUCCGAAACGCGAGCGGAAUUCGCGAAUAACGUCGCUGUUUAAACUAUUCGAUUCAAUUCGCCUGCGACGUCCGGGAAUACCGUUUAAGUAUCGCGCGAUUUUCGUGUGCGGGUGCGCUCGCGUGCAAUGCGAGCAUGAUCGCGAACGCGUGUGAGUGCUAUGAAGAAGCAGGAAGCUCAAGCGGCAUCGGGCGACGUCGGUGCAACAUUGUGCUUUGAUUUUUUGUACUCACCUUACCGAAAUUCGAGAGACCACCGAUUUGAGGCACUUGACCGGGUUCAUCCGCCGUGCUGCAGUCUGCCCUAACGAACCAACAGGGCCAGUUGCACCGAGUCGAGAUGCUGCGACGAGCAGGGCACAUACGCGGACCAGAACUGCAACAGCGAAGCGGAAGUACAACGUAUUACAAAACUGGAGAGCCUUUUAAACGACGCUUCGCACAAAGAGCCUUUCCUGCAUGGAGGAGAAUGCAGUUGUGCGCCAAACUUCGUUUCCCGCUCACCGUCUCUUUCUACUCCGAGUCGCGAUUUUCGACGGGACGGAGAUGGAGAUAUCGCGCCGUG